GCUAAACGCGAAGAACCUUACCAGGGCUUGACAUGGGCAGGACCGCCGGUGAAAGCCGGUUUCCCUUCGGGGCCUGUUCACAGAUGCUGCAUGGCUGUCGUCAGCUCGUGCCGUGAGGUGUUGGGUUAAGUCCCGCAACGAGCGCAACCCUUGUCCUUAGUUGCCAUCAUUAAGUUGGGAACUCUAAGGAGACCGCCGGUGACAAACCGGAGGAAGGUGGGGAUGACGUCAAGUCAUCAUGGCCUUUAUGGCCAGGGCUACACACGUGCUACAAUGGAACGCACAGAGGGCAGCAAAGGCGCGAGCUGGAGCGAAUCCCACAAAACGUUUCGUAGUCCGGAUCGGAGUCUGCAACUCGACUCCGUGAAGUCGGAAUCGCUAGUAAUCGCGGAUCAGAAUGCCGCGGUGAAUACGUUCCCGGGUCUUGUACACACCG
RNAcentral lists this ribosomal RNA (436 nucleotides) under uncultured bacterium. RNAcentral describes it as "bacterial SSU rRNA". It matches the Rfam family "Bacterial small subunit ribosomal RNA", at positions 954 to 1392 of the family's 1533-position model. The record is from RNAcentral.